RNAcentral lists this ribosomal RNA (93 nucleotides) under Leucobacter chromiisoli. RNAcentral's name for it is "Bacterial large subunit ribosomal RNA". It matches the Rfam family "Bacterial large subunit ribosomal RNA", at positions 2832 to 2925 of the family's 2925-position model. The record is from Rfam by way of RNAcentral. Lineage: Bacteria; Bacillati; Actinomycetota; Actinomycetes; Micrococcales; Microbacteriaceae.
GGCUCCCAGGAGAUGACUGGGUUGAUAGGCCAGAUGUGGAAGCGCUGUAAGGUGUGGAGCUGACUGGUACUAAUAAGCCGAUGACUUGACUUC